AGAUUCUUCAGAGGGGUGAAUAAAAACUAUUUUCAUAUACAUAUGUCAGUUCUUAUAAAAACUAGCCAGGUGUGGUGGUACAUGCCUAUAGUCUUAGCACCUUGGGAGGCUACAGCUAGAGGAUUGCUCGAGCCCAGGAGGUUGAGGCUGCAGUAAGCCAUGUUUGUGCCACUGCACUCCAGCCUGAGUGACACAGCAAGAUCCUGUCUCUAAAUAAAUAAAUAAAUAAAUAAAUAUUACAUAUCAAUCUGUUUGAAGUAACAUUCAGUUUAGUGAGCUACCGACAUGUGCAGGCUCAAUGUUGUGUUAUUUUAUUUACACCGUACUGAGAGUAGGAGCCCCAUUUGACACGGACUAUGGAAAAAAGCCCACAGCCUCCACCCCUGUAACAAUACAGAAGUCAUUUUGACCUUGAAGUUUUAGAGCAGGUGUACCAAUGACCACGUGGGUCAAUAAAAGAAAAAUCUUUAUUGAUUUCAGCUGCACAGCUUCUUGGGGUGGCUUCCAAGAUAAAUAAGUUGCAAGAUAUUUGCUUGUCAUUAUUUGUAGGCUACCAAGCAGCAUCCCAAGAGCUUGGAAUGAGAUGAUCCUCUGAGAACUAAACUAUAAAAUCAAAACAUAAUGGGUUGGCCAG
This 634-nucleotide long non-coding RNA is filed under the name Homo sapiens (human). RNAcentral describes it as "non-protein coding lnc-UBR5-6:1". The record is from RNAcentral. Lineage: Eukaryota; Metazoa; Chordata; Mammalia; Primates; Hominidae.